UUGAAUUUUAAUUUAAAGUCUAGCCUGCCCACUGAAAUUAAUUUUAAUGGCCGCAGUAUUUUGACUGUGCAAAGGUAGCAUAAUCAUUAGUUUUUUAAUUGAAAGCUUGUAUGAAAGGUUGGACGAGGUAAAAUCUGUCUCUAUUUAAUUUAUUUUAGAAUUUAAUUUUUAAGUUAAAAAGCUUAAAUUUUAUUAAAAGACGAGAAGACCCUAUAGAUCUUUAUAAUUUUUGUUAUAAAUUUAAUUAUGAAUUAUUUAGAAUUUAUAAUAUAAAUUAUUUUAUUGGGGUAAUAAAAAGAUUAAAAUAAUUCUUUUUUAUUUUUAACAUUAAUUUAUGAAUUUAAUGAUCCAAUUUUAUUGAUUAUAAGAUUAAGUUACCUUAGGGAUAACAGCGUAAUUUUUUUAGAGAGUUCAUAUCGAUAAAAAAGUUUGCGACCUCGAUGUUGGAUUAAAGAUUAGUUUAGGUGUAGAAGUUUAAAUUUUUGGUCUGUUCGACCAUUAAAUCUUUACAUGAUCUGAGUUCAGACCGGCGUAAGCCAGGUCGGUUUCUAUCUUUAAUAAUUUUAAAAUAUUUUAGUACGAAAGGACCAAAUAUUUAAUAUAUUUAUAUUUUAUUUUUUGAAUAUUAUUAAAUUGUUUUGGCAGAUUAGUGUAAUGAAUUUAGAAUUCAUAAAUGUAAUUAUUUUUACAAACAAUACUUGUUUUAUAUAGAUUUAAUUUUUUCUUUUAUUUGUAUAUUUUUAUUAAUUAUUUGUGUUUUAGUUGGGGUAGC
This 772-nucleotide ribosomal RNA is filed under the name Pseudomigadops n. sp. MSL2007. Its description in RNAcentral is "partial 16S ribosomal RNA". The stretch from base 1 to 580 matches the Rfam family "Bacterial large subunit ribosomal RNA", at positions 1891 to 2925 of the family's 2925-position model. Lineage: Eukaryota; Metazoa; Arthropoda; Insecta; Coleoptera; Carabidae. The record is from RNAcentral.